RNAcentral lists this long non-coding RNA (465 nucleotides) under Pollicipes pollicipes. RNAcentral's name for it is "uncharacterized LOC119110441, transcript variant X1". Lineage: Eukaryota; Metazoa; Arthropoda; Thecostraca; Pollicipedomorpha; Pollicipedidae. The record is from RNAcentral.
UGCCGUUUUGGCGGUGUUGUGAUUGAUUAUUCGCGCUGCGUUGUUGAGCUGAAGGAUUUUAACAUGCUGAUGAAUUCAAAAACUGCAAUAAUGAAAUGAUGUUUGUGUGAAGCCAACAUGAUGCCAAGGAUCGGCCUGCCCUGCCUGAGCGGAGCGCUGGCGCAGUGGGCGCAGCAGCUGUGCCAGCGCUGGGCCGCCGGCUGGACGCUGGCCGUCAGCGUGGUGACGCUGGCGCUCUGCUCGCUGGUGGUGCUCACGCAGGCGCUGGCCGCCGUCGGCACCUACCAAGGUUUGGCGCGACGCUCGAGCCCGGGGCCUCCGGUCUUCUGUCUGGAUAGCAGCUCUCGGUUGUACUCGCUGUGGUGGGAGCAUAAUAUAUCAGCGUCUGGACACGGAACAAUACCCCGUGCGCAAGUAAAAAAAGAUGCAAUCUGCUUAUGAUAUUUGCAGUUUGCCGCGCAUUUC